CAAGGAUAACCCAGCACUGCGUGGACGUGGUGCAGGAGAUGCAGAUCUGACCCCAGCACUGCAUGGACAGCGUUGCAGGAGAUGCAGAUCUGAGCUGCCGUGCACCCGUGCUGCAAGGAUGACCCAGCACUGCAAGGACAGCGUUGCAGGAGAUGCGGACCUGACCCAACGCUGCGCCCACACUGCAAGGAUACGGGGUGCAGGAAAUGCAGCUCUGAGCCCCUCGUUGAAUUGCACUGCAAGGAUACGGCGCAGGAAUUGCAGCUCUGAGACCUCAGUGCACUGCACCGCACGGAUGGGGUGCAGGAAAUGCAAAUGUGAGCUGCACUGCAAGGAUUGUGUGCAGGAAAUGCAGCUCUGAACCCUCGCUGAGUUGCACUGCAAAGGGAUGCAGUGCAGGAAAUGCAACCGUGGGCUGCACUGCAAGGAUUGGGUGCAGGAAAUGCAGCUCUGAACCCUCGCUGAGUUGCACUGCAAGGAUGCAGUGCAGGAAAUGCAACCGUGGGCUGCACUGCAAAGGGGUGCAGUGCAGGAAAUGCAACUGUGGGCUGCACUGCACGGCUGGGGUGCAGGAAAUGCAGCUCUGAACCCUCGUCGAAUCGCACUGCAAAGGGAUGCAGUGCAGGAAAUGCAA
This 634-nucleotide long non-coding RNA is filed under the name Phasianus colchicus (ring-necked pheasant). RNAcentral describes it as "lncRNA (ENSPCLG00000013452.1)". Lineage: Eukaryota; Metazoa; Chordata; Aves; Galliformes; Phasianidae. The record is from RNAcentral.